Molecule: ribosomal RNA, 441 nt
Filed under: uncultured bacterium
Lineage: Bacteria
Description: bacterial SSU rRNA
Rfam family: Bacterial small subunit ribosomal RNA
Source: RNAcentral
UACGGAAGGCAGCAGUGGGGAAUAUUGCACAAUGGGCGCAAGCCUGAUGCAGCCAUGCCGCGUGUAUGAAGAAGGCCUUCGGGUUGUAAAGUACUUUCAGUCGUGAGGAAGGUGUUAAGGUUAAUAACCUUAGCAAUUGACGUUAGCGACAGAAGAAGCACCGGCUAACUCCGUGCCAGCAGCCGCGGUAAUACGGAGGGUGCGAGCGUUAAUCGGAAUUACUGGGCGUAAAGGGCACGCAGGCGGUUAAUUAAGUUGGAUGUGAAAUCCCCGGGCUUAACCUGGGAAUGGCAUUCAAGACUGGUUAGCUAGAGUCUUGUAGAGGGGGUAGAAUUCCAUGUGUAGCGGUGAAAUGCGUAGAGAUGUGGAGGAAUACCGGUGGCGAAAGGCGGCCCCUGGACAAAGGACUGACGCUCAUGUGCGAAAGCGUGGGGAGCAAAC